GACGAACGCUGGCGGCGUGCUUAACACAUGCAAGUCGAACGGAAAGGCCCCUUUGGGGGUACUCGAGUGGCGAACGGGUGAGUAACACGUGAGUAACCUGCCCUUGACUUCGGGGUAACUUCAGGAAACUGGGGCUAAUACCGGAUAGGAAUCCUAGCUGCAUGGUGGGGGUUGGAAAGCUUCGGCGGUUUUGGAUGGACUCGCGGCUUAUCAGCUUGUUGGUGGGGUAGUGGCUUACCAAGGCUUUGACGGGUAGCCGGCCUGAGAGGGCGACCGGCCACAUUGGGACUGAGAUACGGCCCAGACUCCUACGGGAGGCAGCAGUGGGGAAUAUUGCACAAUGGGCGGAAGCCUGAUGCAGCAACGCCGCGUGCGGGAUGACGGCCUUCGGGUUGUAAACCGCUUUCAGCAGGGGCGAAGCUUGUGGUGACGGUACCUGCAGAAGAAGCACCGGCUAACUACGUG
RNAcentral lists this ribosomal RNA (465 nucleotides) under uncultured bacterium. RNAcentral's name for it is "partial 16S ribosomal RNA". It matches the Rfam family "Bacterial small subunit ribosomal RNA", at positions 28 to 507 of the family's 1533-position model. The record is from RNAcentral.